Molecule: ribosomal RNA, 253 nt
Filed under: uncultured bacterium
Lineage: Bacteria
Description: partial 16S ribosomal RNA
Rfam family: Bacterial small subunit ribosomal RNA
Source: RNAcentral
AACGUAGGACGCAAGCGUUAUCCGGAGUUACUGGGCGUAAAGCGCGGGCAGGCGGCUCGAAACGUCUGAUGUGAAGGCACCCGGCUCAACCGGGUGAGGCCAUUGGAAACGGUCGAGCUGGAGGGCAGUAGAGGUAGGCGGAAUUCCGGGUGGAGUGGUGAAAUGCGUAGAGAUCCGGAGGAACACCAGAGGCGAAGGCGGGUUGCUGGGCCGAUACUGACGCUGAGGAGCGAAAGCAUGGGUAGCGAACAGG